Molecule: ribosomal RNA, 190 nt
Filed under: uncultured bacterium
Lineage: Bacteria
Description: partial 16S ribosomal RNA
Rfam family: Bacterial small subunit ribosomal RNA
Source: RNAcentral
CCUACGGGAGGCAGCAGUAAGGGAUAUUGGUCAAUGGCCGAAAGGCUGAACCAGCCAUGCCGCGUGAGGGAAUGAGGCCCUACGGGUCGUGAACCUCUUUUGACCGGGGACAAGGACGGCGUCGCGAACGUCGUUUGAGGGUACCGGUAGAAUAAGCGUCGGCUAACUCCGUGCCAGCAGCCGCGGUAAU